GUCCACGCCCUAAACGAUGGACACUAGGUGUGGGGGUAUCGACCCCUCUGCGCCGGAGCUAACGCAUUAAGUGUCCCGCCUGGGGAGUACGGCCGCAAGGCUAAAACUCAAAGGAAUUGACGGGGCCCGCACAAGCAGCGGAGCGUGUGGUUUAAUUCGACGCAACGCGCAGAACCUUACCAGGGCUUGACAUGCUGGUGGUAGGGAGGUGAAAGCCGAACGACCCCGUGAGGGGAGCCAGCACAGAUGCUGCAUGGCUGUCGU
Molecule: ribosomal RNA, 264 nt
Filed under: uncultured bacterium
Lineage: Bacteria
Description: partial 16S ribosomal RNA
Rfam family: Bacterial small subunit ribosomal RNA
Source: RNAcentral